This 1406-nucleotide small RNA is filed under the name Drosophila ananassae. RNAcentral describes it as "GF27556". The record is from RNAcentral. Lineage: Eukaryota; Metazoa; Arthropoda; Insecta; Diptera; Drosophilidae.
CUUUCGAAAUUUCUAAUUGAACGCGAAUCAGGUGAGCGGGACGCGUCCGGAAACAAACCACUACCGAACCCUCACAUCCCCCAACAUGAAAAGACAUUAACACCAGCGAGCGUCAUCUGGCCAAUGGAUUGUGUUUUAAGCCAAGUUUCGUCCUGAUUGAACCUUGAUCUACAGUAACCAGGAACACCACACCUGCGUGCUACAAAACGACCAACGUGUGCUAGAGGUGGAACAAAAUGUGUAUUGGUAAAUGCCGAUAGUAACUAUCGAUUAGCAUAGAGGUGGAAAAUAAUGUGUAUUGGUAAAUGCCGAUAGUAAGUAUCGCAUCGACAUCGAUAUAUUAUGACUUACCGACUUAUCGAUAUUCUUAUCACCCCUGUCGUCAUUGCUCAUCUCUAUGCCGACUUGCAAAUCGCUAAGAAACUUCCUCGUCUAUAAAUACGCUUUUUUCCACCAAUUCGGGACUCAACGCUUCUUAAACAGCGUCAUUUCAAGCAAAAAAGCAUCAUUCAGAUGGCGAAGAAGACAAUAGAAUAUGAAGAUGAUGAAGAAUGCCGUCCAGCGUAACAGGACGACCAUGUGCGACAUUCACCCUAGGUCGACGGCAAAACCGGCCGAAAUUGCGUUUUGGUACUAAAAGAACAAGGAUGAGGCCAUAUGAGGCAUGAAAAGAUUCGGGCUAAGAAAAUAGACAUUUGCAAAUGAAAUGUGAACGAAGCAGUCCUGUUGGACGCCUUUCGUUUGGCCCCAACUAUGCAGGGCGUUUCUACUUUCGGUGCUUGACCUAUGACCAAUGUCAUCGUAAUUGGUUGCUUGCGAACACAAGAGCCACCCAGCUCAGUUCAAGGAAUACGACGAUGAAGUAAACCAAUCUUGAGUGCGGAUCAUUGGCAAAGAAAGGAGCCAAUAAAGAGGAAGCUUAGAUUGCUGAAGGGACAGAUUCGGCCAAGGAUCCGGAUUCCCAUUCUGAGCACCACAUUAAGAGCGGCAUGCUGCACGCCGGAAACCGAUCGAAGGAGGAGGAGCUGCAGCCGCUAAGGCUUUCCCUUGACUAAGGGACCAGAUCGCAAACAAGCUAGGCAAGCAACAGCGGAUGGAGCUCAAAAGGCUACUGGUUGGCGGACGGAACAGAACUGGCGGUAGUAGCGGGCUUUCUAUACAAAUUUGAUGGCGUGAAGCGACUGGACUGGCCGUCGGAGCAGCUUGAGAAUCGUCACAUGGCCGCACCGCUUUCAAAAAUGAGAAGGAAUUCGAAGCAGAGUCGCGGCCAGCAGAAGGCACAGAUUUAACAUGGACCACAUUGGGGCGGGAAUCAUUUAAGUAGAAAUGCAAAGGCUUAACUUCAAAAAGAAAUUAUUUUGUGGGCUUAUCUUAAUAAAAACUUGUAUCUAAAAUUUUGGCCAAAA